Molecule: ribosomal RNA, 445 nt
Filed under: uncultured bacterium
Lineage: Bacteria
Description: bacterial SSU rRNA
Rfam family: Bacterial small subunit ribosomal RNA
Source: RNAcentral
CGGCCUACGGGUGGCUGCAGUAGGGAAUAUUAGAAAUGGACGAAAGUCUGAUCUAGCAACACCGCGUGUGCGAAGAAGGCCUUCGGGUUGUAAAGCACUUUUUGGAAGGAUUAGGAAGGAAUGUACUUCCAGAAUAAGUCUCGGCUAACUACGUGCCAGCAGCCGCGGUAACACGUAGGAGGCAAACGUUAUCCGGAUUUACUGGGCGUAAAGCGCGUGUAGGUGGUUCUGUAAGUAGGGCGUGAAAGCUCCUGGCUCAACUGGGAGAGGCCGUUCUAAACUGCAGAGCUAGAGGAUGGUAGAGGGAGGUGGAAUUCCGGGUGUAGCGGUGGAAUGCGCAGAUAUCCGGAGGAACACCAGUGGCGAAAGCGGCCUCCUGGACCAUUCCUGACACUCAGACGCGAAAGCUAGGGUAGCAAACGGGAUUAGAUACCCCGGUAGUCGC